Molecule: ribosomal RNA, 376 nt
Filed under: uncultured bacterium
Lineage: Bacteria
Description: bacterial SSU rRNA
Rfam family: Bacterial small subunit ribosomal RNA
Source: RNAcentral
UACGGGGGGUGCAAGCGUUAUUCGGAUUUAUUGGGCGUAAAGAGCGCGUAGGCGGUUUAUCAAGUCAGAUGUGAAAGCCCUGGGCUCAACCUGGGAAGUGCAUUUGAAACUAGUAGACUUGAGUAUGGGAGAGGGGAGUGGAAUUCCUGGUGUAGAGGUGAAAUUCGUAGAUAUCAGGAGGAACACCGGUGGCGAAGGCGACUUCCUGGACCAAUACUGACGCUGAGGCGCGAAGGCGUGGGGAGCAAACAGGAUUAGAUACCCUGGUAGUCCACGCAGUAAACGGUGAUCACUAGGUGUAGCGGGUAUUGACCCCUGCUGUGCCGCAGUUAACGCAUUAAGUGAUCCGCCUGGGAAGUACGAUCGCAAGGUUAAA